UCCAGAGACCAUUGAGAUAAUGGAAUCUUCAGAAGAAAACAAAGAAGAAAGAGAUGAUGAUGAUGAUGAGCUUGAAAUCACUGGUGUAGGGAAAGAUGGAUUUAGGAGCUAUAUGUACACUCAACUGUUUUCCUACCUACCCAUGAUGGCAUACCAUCAAGCUCAAAUUCUAAACUCAUGGGAUCACAUGUUCUGGAGCUUCAAGGAAAAUCCAGCAAUCUAAG
Molecule: long non-coding RNA, 224 nt
Filed under: Panax ginseng (ginseng)
Lineage: Eukaryota; Viridiplantae; Streptophyta; Magnoliopsida; Apiales; Araliaceae
Description: long non-coding RNA (PGIN_LNC019090)
Source: RNAcentral